This 279-nucleotide ribosomal RNA is filed under the name uncultured bacterium. Its description in RNAcentral is "partial 16S ribosomal RNA". It matches the Rfam family "Bacterial small subunit ribosomal RNA", at positions 506 to 784 of the family's 1533-position model. The record is from RNAcentral.
UGCCAGCAGCCGCGGUAAUACGGAGGGUGCGAUCGUUAAUCGGAAUCACUGGGCGUAAAGCGUGCGUAGGCGGCGCAGCAAGUCAGACGUGAAAGCCCUCGGCUCAACCGAGGAAUUGCGUUUGAAACUGCUGUGCUUGAGUCUCGGAGAGGUUGGCGGAAUUCCAGGUGUAGGAGUGAAAUCCGUAGAUAUCUGGAGGAACACCGGGGGCGAAGGCGGCCAACUGGACGAGUAAGGACGCGGAGGUAAGAACGCGUGGGGAGCAAACAGGAGUAGAUC